GCUUAAUUCGAGCAAGUCGAGUAAUAUUCAAGCUCGGUUUGAAAUUAAUUUCGAGCCCCUAAAUUUAGGCUCAAGCUUGCUUGAAACUAAUUCGAGCCGAGCUCGAGCGAGCCGAAUAUCGAGCCGAACACAAGUCGAACACCAGCUGCCUCUCUCAUUUGCCAGCCCUAUGACAUGGUGAUGUAGCUGGUCUUUUUUUUUUCCUUGAUUUUUGUUUUUUUUUUUGAGAGAUACCCAUCUCGUUUAUUUCAUUUAGAAAUAAACUAAGCUGUAAAUAUGAAUCAAUUAGAAUUCGAACUUGGGACUUCGGGUAUUAAUCACCAAAUUCUUUGUCACUUGCUUUAGGGACGAUCAGUAUGUAGCUGGUCAUUAAUGACGGGAUGCAUUAGGCAUUUCAAAUAUUCUCC
RNAcentral lists this long non-coding RNA (407 nucleotides) under Ananas comosus (pineapple). Its description in RNAcentral is "long non-coding RNA (ACOM_LNC027764)". Lineage: Eukaryota; Viridiplantae; Streptophyta; Magnoliopsida; Poales; Bromeliaceae. The record is from RNAcentral.